Molecule: ribosomal RNA, 630 nt
Filed under: Hua sp. f LD-2019
Lineage: Eukaryota; Metazoa; Mollusca; Gastropoda; Semisulcospiridae
Description: partial 16S large subunit ribosomal RNA
Rfam family: Bacterial large subunit ribosomal RNA
Source: RNAcentral
GAGUAUUACAAACUGACGUUAAAUAUGAAAAAAUUUUCUUCAAAAAAGAUUUUUAAAAAAAUUAAUUAAUUAAAAGGAACUCGGCAAACUUAGUUGCUUCGCCUGUUUAUCAAAAACAUGGCUCUCUGCUUAUAUAAAUAUAGGGAGUCGAGCCUGCCCAGUGAAUUUUUUUUAACGGCCGCGGUACUCUGACCGUGCAAAGGUAGCAUAAUCAUUUGCCUUAUAAUUGAAGGCUAGUAUGAAUGGUUUGACGAGAGCAACACUGUCUCUUUUUUAUUUUCAAGAACUUAACUUUUAGGUGAAGAGGCCUAAAUUUUAUUGAAGGACAAGAAGACCCUGUCGAGCUUAAAAGACAUUGUAGAAGUCUAUAUAUAUAUUAAAUAAAUUUUCUAUCAAGCUUUUUAGUUGGGGCGACUAAGGAACAAAAAAAGCUUCUUGUUAAUAAUAAACAGUCAUGUUUAGAUCCGAUAAUAAUCGAUCGGGGGAAUUAGUUACCGCAGGGAUAACAGCAUAAUCUCUCUUGAGAGACCUAAUCGAAAGAGGGGGUUGUGACCUCGAUGUUGGACUAGAAUAUCCUGAAGGUGCAGAAGUCUUUAAGGGUCGGUCUGUUCGACCGUUAAAAUUCUACGU